UACACUCCUGCGGGAGGCAGCAGUGGGGAAUAUUGGCCAAUGGGCGCAAGCCUGAUCCAGCCAUGCCGCGUGAGUGAUGAAGGCCCUAGGGUUGUAAAGCUCUUUCACCGGUGAAGAUAAUGACGGUAACCGGAGAAGAAGCCCCGGCUAACUUCGUGCCAGCAGCCGCGGUAAUACGAAGGGGGCUAGCGUUGUUCGGAUUUACUGGGCGUAAAGCGCACGUAGGCGGACUAUUAAGUCAGGGGUGAAAUCCCGGGGCUCAACCCCGGAACUGCCUUUGAUACUGGUAGUCUUGAGUUCGAGAGAGGUGAGUGGAAUUCCGAGUGUAGAGGUGAAAUUCGUAGAUAUUCGGAGGAACACCAGUGGCGAAGGCGGCUCACUGGCUCGAUACUGACGCUGAGGUGCGAAAGCGUGGGGAGCAAACAGGAUUAGAUACCCCGGUAGUCCC
Molecule: ribosomal RNA, 448 nt
Filed under: uncultured organism
Description: partial 16S ribosomal RNA
Rfam family: Bacterial small subunit ribosomal RNA
Source: RNAcentral